This 796-nucleotide ribosomal RNA is filed under the name uncultured Methanosarcinaceae archaeon. Its description in RNAcentral is "bacterial SSU rRNA". It matches the Rfam family "Archaeal small subunit ribosomal RNA", at positions 85 to 879 of the family's 1478-position model. The record is from RNAcentral. Lineage: Archaea; Methanobacteriati; Methanobacteriota; Methanomicrobia; Methanosarcinales; Methanosarcinaceae.
ACGGCUCAGUAACACGUGGAUAACCUGCCCUUGGGUCCGGCAUAACCCCGGGAAACUGGGGAUAAUUCCGGAUAACGCACAUAUGCUGGAAUGCUUUAUGCGUAAAAUGGAUUCGUCUGCCCAAGGAUGGGUCUGCGGCCUAUCAGGUAGUAGUGGGUGUAAUGUACCUACUAGCCUACAACGGGUACGGGUUGUGAGAGCAAGAGCCCGGAGAUGGAUUCUGAGACAUGAAUCCAGGCCCUACGGGGCGCAGCAGGCGCGAAAACUUUACAAUGCGGGAAACCGUGAUAAGGGGACACCGAGUGCCAGCAUCAUAUGCUGGCUGUCCAGGUGUGUAAAAUACACCUGUUAGCAAGGGCCGGGCAAGACCGGUGCCAGCCGCCGCGGUAACACCGGCGGCCCGAGUGGUGAUCGUGAUUAUUGGGUCUAAAGGGUCCGUAGCCGGUUUGGUCAGUCCUCCGGGAAAUCUGACGGCUCAACCGUUAGGCUUUCGGGGGAUACUGCCAGGCUUGGAACCGGGAGAGGUAAGAGGUACUACAGGGGUAGGAGUGAAAUCUUGUAAUCCCUGUGGGACCACCUGUGGCGAAGGCGUCUUACCAGAACGGGUUCGACGGUGAGGGACGAAAGCUGGGGGCACGAACCGGAUUAGAUACCCGGGUAGUCCCAGCCGUAAACGAUGCUCGCUAGGUGUCAGGCAUGGCGCGACCGUGUCUGGUGCCGCAGGGAAGCCGUGAAGCGAGCCACCUGGGAAGUACGGCCGCAAGGCUGAAACUUAAAGGAAUUGGCGGGGGAGCAC